This 68-nucleotide transfer RNA is filed under the name Colobus guereza (mantled guereza). Its description in RNAcentral is "tRNA-Lys". Lineage: Eukaryota; Metazoa; Chordata; Mammalia; Primates; Cercopithecidae. The record is from RNAcentral.
CGCUGUACAGCUAUUAUAGCAUUAACCUUUUAAGUUAAAGAUCGAGAAACCCUUCUUCUCUACAGCGA